UUCCGUAGGUGAACCUGCGGAAGGAUCAUUAGUGAAUCUUCAAAAGUCGGCUCUGUGGAUUGUGCUGGUGGAGACACAUGUGCACGUCCGCAAGGUCGCAAACCCCACACACCUGUGCAUCUAUGACUCUGAGUGCCGCUUUGCAUGGCCUUGACCGGCCUGGCGCUCGAGUACUUCUACACACUCUUGAAUGUAACGGAAUGUCUUGUUGUGCAUAAUGUACAAACAGAAACAACUUUCAACAACGGAUCUCUUGGCUCUCGCAUCGAUGAAGAACGCAGCGAAAUGCGAUAAGUAAUGUGAAUUGCAGAAUUCAGUGAAUCAUCGAAUCUUUGAACGCACCUUGCACCCUUUGGUAUUCCGAAGGGUACGCCCGUUUGAGUGUCAUUGUAAUCUCACCACCAUUGACUUUGGUCUUUUGGUAUGUGGACUUGGAUGUUGCCGUCGAUGUCUACGGCUCGUCUGAAAUGCUUCAGUGUACCCCGCUUUGCGGCGUAUUCGGUGUGAUACAUCUUCACCGGAGUUGAUCCUUUUGGGGGUCGCGUCUGUAAUGUGUGGCUCUAUGCUUCCAACCGUCUCUCGAGACAAUCUCUGACAAUUUGACCUCAAAUCGGGUGGGACUACCCGCUGAACUUAAGCAUAUCAAUAAGCGGAGGAAAAGAAACUAACAAGGAUUCCCCUAGUAACGGCGAGUGAAGAGGGAAAAGCUCAAAUUUUGAAUCUGGUGUCUUUGACUCCCGAGUUGUAAUCUAGAGAAGUGUUUUCCGUGUCGGACCGUGCACAAGUUCCCUGGAACGGGGCGUCAUAGAGGGUGAGAAUCCCGUAUAUGGCACGGACUGCCGAUGCUUUUGUGAUACACUCUCAACGAGUCGAGUUGUUUGGGAAUGCAGCUCAAAAUGGGUGGUAAAUUCCAUCUAAAGCUAAAUAUUGGCGAGAGACCGAUAGCGAACAAGUAACGUGAGGGAAAGAUGAAAAGCACUUUGGAAAGAGAGUGAAACAGUACGUGAAAUUGUUGAAAGGGAAGCGUUUGAAGUCAGUCGUAUCUGGCGGGAUUCAGCUGGGCUUUUGCCCGGUGUACUUCUCGUCCGAUGGGUCAGCAUCAAUUUUGACCGGGGGAAAAAGAUGUGGGGAAUGUGGCUGUCUUUGGGCAGUGUUAUAGCCCCAUGUUGUAUGCCUCGGUUGGGAUUGAGGAACGCAGCGCGCCUAUAGGCCAGGGGCUACCCGCCUCUUGACACGCGCUUAGGAUGCUGGCAUAAUGGCUUUAAGCGACCCGUCUUG
RNAcentral lists this ribosomal RNA (1278 nucleotides) under uncultured Sebacina. RNAcentral's name for it is "eukaryotic LSU rRNA". The stretch from base 601 to 1278 matches the Rfam family "Eukaryotic large subunit ribosomal RNA", at positions 1 to 656 of the family's 3401-position model. The record is from RNAcentral. Lineage: Eukaryota; Fungi; Basidiomycota; Agaricomycetes; Sebacinales; Sebacinaceae.